Molecule: ribosomal RNA, 443 nt
Filed under: uncultured bacterium
Lineage: Bacteria
Description: bacterial SSU rRNA
Rfam family: Bacterial small subunit ribosomal RNA
Source: RNAcentral
GACGAACGCUGGCGGCGUGCCUAAUACAUGCAAGUCGAGCGAAUUUACGAGAGCUUGCUCUCGUAAAUUAGCGGCGGACGGGUGAGUAACACGUGGGCAACCUGCCUAUAAGACUGGGAUAACUUCGGGAAACCGGAGCUAAUACCGGAUAAUUCACAUCUACUCAUGUAGAUGUGCUGAAAGACGGUUUACGCUGUCACUUAUAGAUGGGCCCGCGGCGCAUUAGCUAGUUGGUGAGGUAACGGCUCACCAAGGCCACGAUGCGUAGCCGACCUGAGAGGGUGAUCGGCCACACUGGGACUGAGACACGGCCCAGACUCCUACGGGAGGCAGCAGUAGGGAAUCUUCCGCAAUGGACGAAAGUCUGACGAGCAACGCCGCGUGAGUGAUGAAGGUUUUCGGAUCGUAAAACUCUGUUGUUAGGGAAGAACAAGUACCGGAGU